UACGGGGGGGGCAAGCGUUGUUCGGAAUUACUGGGCGUAAAGGGCUCGUAGGCGGCCAACUAAGUCAGACGUGAAAUCCCUCGGCUUAACCGGGGAACUGCGUCUGAUACUGGAUGGCUUGAGUUUGGGAGAGGGAUGCGGAAUUCCAGGUGUAGCGGUGAAAUGCGUAGAUGUCUGGAGGAACACCGGUGGCGAAGGCGGCAUCCUGGACCAAUACUGACGCUGAGUGAGCGAAAGCCAGGGGAGCAAACGGG
RNAcentral lists this ribosomal RNA (254 nucleotides) under uncultured bacterium. RNAcentral describes it as "partial 16S ribosomal RNA". It matches the Rfam family "Bacterial small subunit ribosomal RNA", at positions 524 to 776 of the family's 1533-position model. The record is from RNAcentral.